UUUACAAUUAAUAGACUGUUUUACUACUGUGAAUCCUUUGAGAUUCAAUCAACUCCUCUUAUUUGACGCAUGGUAACUACUACUCUAUCUGAGAGUACAAUAACAUCAGCCGGUUUCUCUACCACGAUAACAAGAUGGGUAUGCUCCACAAUAACAUCAGCCGGUUUCUCUACCACGAAAUUAUUCAAAAUUAGAUUUCUACUGCAAAAACAAGAUAGGAGUACAAAAGAGCAGCAUUAAUUAAUGCAUAACAAAUUAAGUCCCAAUAUCCAUACGUAUGUUACAAUGGAUAUAUAUGGGUAAAGAGAGAAAACAAGGAUAAAAGCAUUAGACUUGGUCUGAGAGCAGACUAUUAGACCAUCGAUCUCGAGCCAUUUCCCUAAAAUUUGACUCCUCAAACGACCCAACAAAACAUAACUCAUCAAGUUUGAUGUGUGCACAACAACUUCUGGCCAGUAGAUGACAUUGCAAAAGUA
This 476-nucleotide long non-coding RNA is filed under the name Hordeum vulgare. RNAcentral's name for it is "long non-coding RNA (HVUL_LNC002824)". Lineage: Eukaryota; Viridiplantae; Streptophyta; Magnoliopsida; Poales; Poaceae. The record is from RNAcentral.